Molecule: ribosomal RNA, 406 nt
Filed under: uncultured bacterium
Lineage: Bacteria
Description: partial 16S ribosomal RNA
Rfam family: Bacterial small subunit ribosomal RNA
Source: RNAcentral
AUUGAACGCUGGCGGCUGGCCUAACUCUUGCAAGUCGAACGAGUGGCGGACGGGUGAGUAAUGUCUGUGAAACUGCCCGAUGGACGGGGAUAACUACUUGAAACGGUAGCUAAUACCGCAUACCAUCGGAUGUGCCCAGAUGGGAGUAGCUAGUCGGUGGGGUAACGGCGCACCUAGGCCACGCUCCCUAGCUGGUCUGAGAGGAUGACCAGCGAAACUGGAACGGAGACACGGUCCAGACGCCUACGGGAGGCAGCAGUGGGGAAGAGGGCACAAUGGGCGCAAGCCUGAUGCAGGCAUGCCGCGUGGAUGAAGAAGGCGAUGGGGUUGUAAAGUACUUGCAGCGAGGAGGCGGAACUCGCAGAAGAAGCACAGGGGAACUCCGGGCCAGCAGCCGCGGUAAUUC